This 478-nucleotide ribosomal RNA is filed under the name Enterobacter sp. BAB-3039. Its description in RNAcentral is "bacterial SSU rRNA". It matches the Rfam family "Bacterial small subunit ribosomal RNA", at positions 45 to 514 of the family's 1533-position model. The record is from RNAcentral. Lineage: Bacteria; Pseudomonadati; Pseudomonadota; Gammaproteobacteria; Enterobacterales; Enterobacteriaceae.
GGCCUAACACAUGCAAGUCGAACGGUAGCACAGAGAGCUUGCUCUCGGGUGACGAGUGGCGGACGGGUGAGUAAUGUCUGGGAAACUGCCUGAUGGAGGGGGAUAACUACUGGAAACGGUAGCUAAUACCGCAUAACGUCGCAAGACCAAAGAGGGGGACCUUCGGGCCUCUUGCCAUCAGAUGUGCCCAGAUGGGAUUAGCUAGUAGGUGGGGUAACGGCUCACCUAGGCGACGAUCCCUAGCUGGUCUGAGAGGAUGACCAGCCACACUGGAACUGAGACACGGUCCAGACUCCUACGGGAGGCAGCAGUGGGGAAUAUUGCACAAUGGGCGCAAGCCUGAUGCAGCCAUGCCGCGUGUAUGAAGAAGGCCUUCGGGUUGUAAAGUACUUUCAGCGGGGAGGAAGGUGUUGUGGUUAAUAACCGCAGCAAUUGACGUUACCCGCAGACGAAGCACCGGCUAACUCCGUGCCAGCAG